AGGGUUUGAUCAUGGCUCAGAACGAACGCUGGCGGCACGCCUAACACAUGCAAGUCGAGCGCUACCUUCGGGUGGAGCGGCGGACGGGUUAGUAACGCGUGGGAACAUACCCUUUUCUACGGAAUAGCCUCGGGAAACUGAGAGUAAUACCGUAUACGCCCUUCGGGGGAAAGAUUUAUCGGUGAAGGAUUGGCCCGCGUUAGAUUAGAUAGUUGGUGGGGUAAUGGCCUACCAAGUCUACGAUCUAUAGCUGGUUUGAGAGGAUGAUCAGCAACACUGGGACUGAGACACGGCCCAGACUCCUACGGGAGGCAGCAGUGGGGAAUCUUAGACAAUGGGCGCAAGCCUGAUCUAGCGAUGCCGCGUGAGUGACGAAGGUCUUAGGAUCGUAAAGCUCUUUCGCCAGGGAUGAUAAUGACAGUACCUGGUAAAGAAACCCCGGCUAACUCCGUGCCAGCAGCCGCGGUAAUACGGAGGGGGUUAGCGUUGUUCGGAAUUACUGGGCGUAAAGCGCACGUAGGCGGACUAUUAAGUCAGAGGUGAAAUCCCAGGGCUCAACCCUGGAACUGCCUUUGAUACUGGUAGUCUUGAGUUCGAGAGAGGUGAGUGGAAUUCCGAGUGUAGAGGUGAAAUUCGUAGAUAUUCGGAGGAACACCAGUGGCGAAGGCGGCUCACUGGCUCGAUACUGACGCUGAGGUGCGAAAGUGUGGGGAGCAAACAGGAUUAGAUACCCUGGU
Molecule: ribosomal RNA, 737 nt
Filed under: uncultured bacterium
Lineage: Bacteria
Description: bacterial SSU rRNA
Rfam family: Bacterial small subunit ribosomal RNA
Source: RNAcentral